Cavia porcellus (domestic guinea pig) is the source of this 848-nucleotide long non-coding RNA. RefSeq lists it as uncharacterized. NCBI's taxonomy places the organism in Eukaryota, Metazoa, Chordata, Mammalia, Rodentia, Caviidae. The transcript has 2 exons. The record is from RefSeq and is a predicted model, not a curated record.
GAGGCGGGGGGGGGGCGGGUCCCCCGCGAGCGCAGGGCGGUGCCACGAAGAAGAUUGACUGUGGCCUGAACCGCGGCGGAGACUCGCAAAACGCGGAGUGCUGCAGCAAACCCUGGAUUCCCGUCAGUAGCUUCGAGUUUUUGCUCCUCAAAAUCAAAUGCUGAAUUUUACCUGGAGGCCACUGCUGAGGGUCAUAAUAUGUAGCCCAGGCUGGCAUUGAACUCAUGGGGAUCCUCCUGUCUCAACCUUCUGGUGAUAGGAUUACAGCAUCAAUUUCCGACCCCACAGCAAACGCUGAAUGUAGUUCCCAAGUACUUUGCUGGAGUUGCUGGGAUGUCUGGAGAAUGGCCUAAACCCCUCAGCGGCAUGCCAACAUCACUCAGGUCCUUUGACCCUACGUGCACCUCAGUCUCUUGUGAAUAGUGUCUGCUUCUCAAGUGCUUGUACUAAGUUGUAAGGACUCAACUGAUGUGGAAAAAGAAAAAGACAGCAAAGAGACUUAAGAUAUUUUAGGCAAAUCACGUAUGUUAAAGGACAUUAUUGGGCACCACAAGUUCACAAUGGCUAAUUUUGCAUACUUCCUUAAAGGAUAAAUGUAGGUCUGGGUUUAUUGGUACCACCCACCUGAGAUUUCCUAUGGACUCUUCUAAGCAUAAGAUCAUCUGCACCCUUGAGUCAUCUCAGGAUUCUACUCCAGGACCAGAUCCUUCUUAGAAUUUCAUCAUCUAUGCCCUCUUGAGUCUGUGUCUUCCACCGAACUGGACUCUUUCGUUAGCCCCACCUAUCACUGUACACAAUAAAUAGCGGCUGUUCUGGAGUGUGGGACAGACCCCACUGAGAAACACUGA